This 353-nucleotide ribosomal RNA is filed under the name Isoparorchis hypselobagri. RNAcentral describes it as "partial 28S ribosomal RNA". It matches the Rfam family "Eukaryotic large subunit ribosomal RNA", at positions 52 to 383 of the family's 3401-position model. The record is from RNAcentral. Lineage: Eukaryota; Metazoa; Platyhelminthes; Trematoda; Azygiida; Isoparorchiidae.
UGUAAAUAAGAACUUAAACAGGCUUCCCUCAGUAACUGCGAGUGAAGAGGGAAAAGCCCAGCACCGAAGCCUGUGUCUGUUUAGUCGCUAGGCCAUGUGGUGUUUAGGUUGCUUGGCGAGGUCACUGUUCUACUCAAAGUCCUGUUAUGAAUACGGUUUAUGGACAUGGCCCAGAGAGGGUGAAAGGCCCGUGUGAGUAGAGUCUGGCGGUGGCUUCCUAGGCUAACCUUGGAGUCGGGUUGUUUGGGAAUGCAGCCCAAAGUGGGUGGUAAACUCCAUCCAAGGCUCAAUACCGGCACGAGUCCGAUAGCGAACAAGUACCGUGAGGGAAAGUUGAAAAGUACUCUGAAGAG